RNAcentral lists this ribosomal RNA (550 nucleotides) under uncultured Glomeromycotina. RNAcentral's name for it is "SSU rRNA". It matches the Rfam family "Eukaryotic small subunit ribosomal RNA", at positions 548 to 1098 of the family's 1831-position model. Lineage: Eukaryota; Fungi; Glomeromycota. The record is from RNAcentral.
UUGGAGGGCAGUCUGGUGCCAGCAGCCGCGGUAAUUCCAGCUCCAAUAGCGUAUAUUAGAGUUGUUGCAGUUAAAAAGCUCGUAGUUGAAUUUCGGGAUUCAUCCGUUGGUCGGGCUUCACGGUCCGUACUGGUGUGAUGGGUUCCUACCUUCUGAAUAACCGGCAUGCCAUUAAUUUGGUGCGCCGGGGAAGCAGAACUAUUACCUUGAAAAAAUUAGAGUGCUUAAAGCAGGCAAGUGCCUGAAUAGGUUAGCAUGGAAUAAUAAAAUAGGACGGCAUGGUUCUAUUUUGUUGGUUUCUAGGAUCACCGUAAUGAUUAAUAGGGAUAGUUGGGGGCAUUAGUAUUCAAUUGUCAGAGGUGAAAUUCUUGGAUUUAUUGAAGACUAACUUCUGCGAAAGCAUUUGCCAAGGAUGUUUUCAUUAAUCAAGAACGAAAGUUAGGGGAUCGAAGACGAUCAGAUACCGUCGUAGUCUUAACCAUAAACUAUGCCGACUAGGGAUCGGACGAUGUUAAUUUUUUAAUGACUCGUUCGGCGCCUUACGGGAAAC